CCCAGUGCCUCUGAGUGUGGGCAAAGAGCCAGAGCUGCGUUUCCAGCAGGUUCCGCCCCCGGGCCUGGGGGAGACCCUGGAGGCUUCGCAGCCCCUUGGCGUCUCCUAGGUGGUGGGGCUGAGUCCCAAGGCGGGGGAGGCAGGGCCUGGGCGGCUUCCCCGGAAGCGCGGGUGGUCGGUUGGCGGCACAGUCCCUCGCUUUUUCUGGGCUGUUCCGUGGUUUGUUCCUCAUUUCCCCUGCCGGUAUUUCCCUGGAGGAUCCGUGGAUUCAGGGGAUCCCGUGACGCCACGUCAGAGAGGCUGGGGUUGGUUUGUUCCUGGUCAGGCUUGUUUCGGGGGAGAAAUCCUGACCCAAAUUCGGAGGAACAGGAGCCGCAUUUAGUUGGGAAGUGAAGACGCCAAAUGUUGACUCUCAGGACCUUCUAGAAGAAGGAGCCGGGACCCACUCUCCGAGUCCUGCUGGAACCAGAGCCAGAGGUGAAAACACAAUGUGCCCUCCACAUCGCACAUGCUUUUAUGAACUUUCAGUGGGGAUUUUUUCCCAACAAUGUUGUAGUCGUUGGAAACAACUGGAAACCUGACAGGUUUUACUAAAAGCAGAUUCACGGCGUCCCUCCAAGACUGCUCAUGGUCAAAGAACAUACCAAGGCCACUUCUCAGUAUGGAGAUUCACAGACCUGCCUGAGUUUUACAUUCACCACACAUACUUUCAAGUCUCCUUUCUCUCCCUGUAAGAAAGAAGACAGAUCUUCUGAUGCGCAGGCAA
This is a long non-coding RNA of Prionailurus viverrinus (fishing cat), 766 nucleotides long. RefSeq lists it as uncharacterized. The transcript has 3 exons. NCBI's taxonomy places the organism in Eukaryota, Metazoa, Chordata, Mammalia, Carnivora, Felidae. The record is from RefSeq and is a predicted model, not a curated record.